UGCAUAUCCAAAAAGCGGAGGAAAAGAAACUAACAAGGAUUCCCCUAGUAACUGCGAGUGAAGCGGGAAAAGCUCAAAUUUAAAAUCUGGUGGUCUUUGGCCAUCCGAGUUGUAAUCUAGAGAAGUGUUAUCCGCGCUGGACCGUGUACAAGUCCCCUGGAAUGGGGCGUCAUAGAGGGUGAGAAUCCCGUCUUUGACACGGACUACCAGGGCUUUGUGAUGCACUCUCAAAGAGUCGAGUUGUUUGGGAAUGCAGCUCAAAAUGGGUGGUAAAUUCCAUCUAAAGCUAAAUAUUGGCGAGAGACCGAUAGCGAACAAGUACCGUGAGGGAAAGAUGAAAAGAACUUUGGAAAGAGAGUUAAACAGUACGUGAAAUUGUUGAAAGGGAAACGCUUGAAGUCAGUCGCGUCUGCCAGGGAUCAACCUUACUUUUGUGAGGCGUACUUCCUGGUUGAUGGGUCAGCAUCAGUUUUGGUCGCUGGAUAAAGGUCAGAGAAAUGUGGCACCUUCGGGUGUGUUAUAGUCUUUGAUCAGAUACAGUGGCUGGGACUGAGGAACUCAGCGCCGCAAGGCUGUCUUAGGAUGCUGGCAAAAUGGCUUUAAUCGACCCGUCUUGAAACACGGCCAAAGGGAGGUCA
Molecule: ribosomal RNA, 638 nt
Filed under: Lentinus sajor-caju
Lineage: Eukaryota; Fungi; Basidiomycota; Agaricomycetes; Polyporales; Polyporaceae
Description: LSU rRNA
Rfam family: Eukaryotic large subunit ribosomal RNA
Source: RNAcentral